This 253-nucleotide long non-coding RNA is filed under the name Trifolium pratense (red clover). RNAcentral's name for it is "long non-coding RNA (TPRA_LNC012550)". Lineage: Eukaryota; Viridiplantae; Streptophyta; Magnoliopsida; Fabales; Fabaceae. The record is from RNAcentral.
AGGAGGGAGCAUUUGCCAAUUGCCACUGGUUCCACACACAGAGAGAGAGACAUGGAUUUAGCUUGUUAUCCGAACAAGACAACAACCUUCAAAACUCUCAAACUCGCUUCCACUUCCACUUCCACUUCUUCUUCCUCAAUUUUUGUUUUUCCUUCGCUUCACAAAACUAAAACUCUAACCAUUCAUUCCCAUAAAUUUCCAUUUCCACGACUCACUAAAGCUCUCUCCACCUCUCCCGCCGCCGUCCAAACUU